CCGAGUUUACAACUCCCAAACCCCUGUGAACAUACCACUUGUUGCCUCGGCGGAUCAGCCCGCUCCCGGUAAAACGGGACGGCCCGCCAGAGGACCCCUAAACUCUGUUUCUAUAUGUAACUUCUGAGUAAAACUAUAAAUAAAUCAA
This 148-nucleotide unclassified non-coding RNA is filed under the name soil metagenome. Its description in RNAcentral is "partial internal transcribed spacer 1". The record is from RNAcentral.